UGCUUUCAUCUACAUAUACACUGCUAUUUUUAGAUCUUUAUCUCAGAGAAAAUAAUUAUUCAAAUCACCGCUAAAGACCACCGUCACCACCACCGUGUUCAAGACCUUUACAUGGAUCCCUCCGAUGUGCACUUUCAACCUCUAAUGAUGCUAUUGGAAAGAAAGGACAUGAAAAUUAGCACUUUGGUCAGCUGUCACCCAUGGCCCAUGUCUAAUCCCACUUGUGACCACACAACAGAGGCCUGCUUUGACCAACACAUGUAGUGGAGGCCAGACGUGUCGCUGGAUUCUAGAGACCAUAUCAGCUCAGGAGCUGCAUUGAAAGACCCAUCAUCCAAAGGCAGAAGGACUCCCGGAUUCUCUCGGAUUGAAACCAAGUGUCGCCUGAAUAAAUUGUGCAUC
This is a long non-coding RNA of Alosa sapidissima (American shad), 402 nucleotides long. RefSeq lists it as uncharacterized. Lineage: Eukaryota; Metazoa; Chordata; Actinopteri; Clupeiformes; Clupeidae. The transcript has 5 exons. The record is from RefSeq and is a predicted model, not a curated record.